RNAcentral lists this long non-coding RNA (212 nucleotides) under Gossypium raimondii (Peruvian cotton). RNAcentral's name for it is "long non-coding RNA (GRAI_LNC009256)". Lineage: Eukaryota; Viridiplantae; Streptophyta; Magnoliopsida; Malvales; Malvaceae. The record is from RNAcentral.
UGGGUAGUUGUAGUUGAUAUGUUAGUGGGGAGUUGGGAUAUUGUGGUUAUCUGAUUAUAUUUUUAUUUUUCAAAAAUUUUGGUUCUUUCUCUAAAAAAAUUUGACGUUAAUUAUUCUUCUUUUCGUGGCCCUCUCGAUUUUCCUUAUUUUUGUUACCUUUUUUUUCUGUUCAAACUGUUGUCGGUCUAUGAGUUGCGUUCUGUGUUUUUUCC